GACGAACGCUGGCGGCGUGCUUAACACAUGCAAGUCGAACGCUGAAGACCUGGCUUUUGUUGGGUUGGAUGAGUGGCGAACGGGUGAGUAACACGUGAGUAACCUGCCCUCUUCUUUGGGAUAACGCCCGGAAACGGGUGCUAAUACUGGAUAUUCACUGAUCUUCGCAUGGGGGUUGGUGGAAAGGUUUGUUCUGGUGGGGGAUGGGCUCGCGGCCUAUCAGCUUGUUGGUGGGGUGAUGGCCUACCAAGGCUUUGACGGGUAGCCGGCCUGAGAGGGUGACCGGUCACAUUGGGACUGAGAGACGGCCCAGACUCCUACGGGAGGCAGCAGUGGGGAAUAUUGCACAAUGGGCGAAAGCCUGAUGCAGCGACGCCGCGUGAGGGAUGGAGGCCUUCGGGUUGUAAACCUCUUUCGCGCAGGGUCAAGCCGCAACUGUGGGUUGUGGUGAGGGUAGUGGGUAAAGAAGCGCCGGCUAACUACGUG
Molecule: ribosomal RNA, 486 nt
Filed under: uncultured bacterium
Lineage: Bacteria
Description: partial 16S ribosomal RNA
Rfam family: Bacterial small subunit ribosomal RNA
Source: RNAcentral